GACCCAGACUCCUACAGGAGGCAGCAGUGGGGAAUAUUGUACAAUGGGGGGAACCCUGAUGCAGCGACGCCGCGUGAAGGAAGAAGUAUCUCGGUAUGUAAACUUCUAUCAGCAGGGAAGAAAGAGGACGGUACCUGACUAAGAAGCCCCGGCUAACUACGUGCCAGCAGCCGCGGUAAUACGUAGGGGGCAAGCGUUAUCCGGAAUUACUGGGUGUAAAGGGAGCGUAGACGGUUAAGUAAGUCUGGAGUGAAAGGCCGGGGCCCAACCCCGGGACUGCUCUGGAAACUAUUGAACUUGAGUGCAGGAGAGGUAAGCGGAAUUCCUAGUGUAGCGGUGAAAUGCGUAGAUAUUAGGAGGAACACCAGUGGCGAAGGCGGCUUACUGGACUGUAACUGACGUUGAGGCUCGAAAGCGUGGGGAGCAAACAGGAUUAGAUACCCCAGUA
Molecule: ribosomal RNA, 448 nt
Filed under: uncultured bacterium
Lineage: Bacteria
Description: bacterial SSU rRNA
Rfam family: Bacterial small subunit ribosomal RNA
Source: RNAcentral